This 253-nucleotide ribosomal RNA is filed under the name uncultured bacterium. RNAcentral describes it as "partial 16S ribosomal RNA". It matches the Rfam family "Bacterial small subunit ribosomal RNA", at positions 524 to 776 of the family's 1533-position model. The record is from RNAcentral.
UACGGAGGGUGCAAGCGUUGUCCGGAUUUAUUGGGUUUAAAGGGUGCGUAGGUGGCCUUGUAAGUCCGUGGUGAAAGCCUCUCGCUUAACGAGAGAACUGCCAUGGAUACUGCAAGGCUUGAGUCCAGACGAGGUUGGCGGAAUGGAUGGUGUAGCGGUGAAAUGCGUAGAUAUUGGGAGGAACACCAGUGGCGAAGGCGGUCCCCUGGGCCGGAACUGACGCUGAGGCGCGAAAGCGUGGGUAGCAAACGGG